CCAGCAUCACCAUCAUCCUGAAAGUCUUUCGGGCUGAUGUGCUGUCGUCCGGAAGAAAUGCUUCCGAGCCGGUGCGGGAUUCCCCUCUCUUUCCUUCCAACCUCCCGGAAGUCCGCUUCCGGGAGGCUUUUUUA
Cardiobacterium valvarum F0432 is the source of this 134-nucleotide non-coding RNA. NCBI's taxonomy places the organism in Bacteria, Pseudomonadati, Pseudomonadota, Gammaproteobacteria, Cardiobacteriales, Cardiobacteriaceae. The record is from Rfam.